AUUGAACGCUAGCGGGAUGCUUUACACAUGCCAGUCGAACGGCAGCGCGGACUUUGGUCUGGCGGCGAGUGGCGAACGGGUGAGUAAUGUAUCGGAACGUGCCCAGUAGCGGGGGAUAACUACGCGAAAGCGUAGCUAAUACCGCAUACGCCCUACGGGGGAAAGCAGGGGAUCGUAAGACCUUGCACUAUUGGAGCGGCCGAUAUCGGAUUAGCUAGUUGGUGAGGUAACGGCUCACCAAGGCGACGAUCCGUAGCUGGUUUGAGAGGACGACCAGCCACACUGGGACUGAGACACGGCCCAGACUCCUACGGGAGGCAGCAGUGGGGAAUUUUGGACAAUGGGGGCAACCCUGAUCCAGCCAUCCCGCGUGUGCGAUGAAGGCCUUCGGGUUGUAAAGCACUUUUGGCAGGAAAGAAACGUCGCGGGCUAAUACCCCGUGGAACUGACGGUACCUGCAGAAUAAGCACCGGCUAACUACGUG
RNAcentral lists this ribosomal RNA (484 nucleotides) under uncultured bacterium. RNAcentral's name for it is "partial 16S ribosomal RNA". It matches the Rfam family "Bacterial small subunit ribosomal RNA", at positions 30 to 507 of the family's 1533-position model. The record is from RNAcentral.